UACGUAGGGUGCGAGCGUUAAUCGGAAUUACUGGGCGUAAAGCGUGCGCAGGCGGUUUUGUAAGUUUGUCGUGAAAUCCCCGGGCUCAACCUGGGAAUGGCGAUGAAGACUGCAAGGCUAGAAUCUGGCAGAGGGGGGUAGAAUUCCACGUGUAGCAGUGAAAUGCGUAGAGAUUGGAAAGAACACCGAUGGCGAAGGCACUUUACUGGGCUAUUACUAACACUCAGAGACGAAAGCUAGGGUAGCAAAUGGG
This 253-nucleotide ribosomal RNA is filed under the name uncultured bacterium. RNAcentral's name for it is "partial 16S ribosomal RNA". It matches the Rfam family "Bacterial small subunit ribosomal RNA", at positions 524 to 776 of the family's 1533-position model. The record is from RNAcentral.